UACGAAGGGGGCUAGCGUUGCUCGGAAUCACUGGGCGUAAAGCGCACGUAGGCGGCUUUUUAAGUCAGGGGUGAAAUCCUGGAGCUCAACUCCAGAACUGCCUUUGAUACUGAGGAUCUUGAGUUCGGGAGAGGUGAGUGGAACUGCGAGUGUAGAGGUGAAAUUCGUAGAUAUUCGCAAGAACACCAGUGGCGAAGGCGGCUCACUGGCUCGAUACUGACGCUGAGGCACGAAAGCGUGGGGAGCAAACAGG
This 253-nucleotide ribosomal RNA is filed under the name uncultured bacterium. RNAcentral's name for it is "partial 16S ribosomal RNA". It matches the Rfam family "Bacterial small subunit ribosomal RNA", at positions 524 to 776 of the family's 1533-position model. The record is from RNAcentral.